AAUCGGCUAGCCACUUUGUCCAUAGUUAUAUCCACACGUGUUAAUAUAUUUGCAAUUUCAGGAUCAUGUUUAGCACAUGGCUAGAUGCAAAGUUACAUUGAUCGGUGUUGCUGCAAGGUUCCCAAGUUGGUAAAUGUUGAUCUCGCUGAUGUGCAAACCAUCAUGCAAAAUGCAGGAUAAUAUUUGAUCGGGACGAGAACUGCUACAGCCUUCAGUACGUGAUGCAGCUGGGAUCAAACAUUGUC
Long non-coding RNA from Brachypodium distachyon (stiff brome), 245 nucleotides. RefSeq lists it as uncharacterized. NCBI's taxonomy places the organism in Eukaryota, Viridiplantae, Streptophyta, Magnoliopsida, Poales, Poaceae. The transcript has 3 exons. The record is from RefSeq and is a predicted model, not a curated record.